Molecule: ribosomal RNA, 484 nt
Filed under: uncultured bacterium
Lineage: Bacteria
Description: bacterial SSU rRNA
Rfam family: Bacterial small subunit ribosomal RNA
Source: RNAcentral
CAGUUAGGAAUCUUCCACAAUGGGCGAAAGCCUGAUGGAGCGACACCGCGUGAAGGAUGAAGGCCCUAGGGUCGUAAACUUCUAAAAGAGGGACGAUAAUGACGGUACCUCUUGAGAAGCACCGGCUAACUCCGUGCCAGCAGCCGCGGUAAUACGGAGGGUGCAAGCGUUAUCCGGAAUCACUGGGCGUAAAGGGCGCGUAGGUGGUCUGUUAAGUCUGGCGUUAAAGCCUGGGGCUCAACCCCAGAUCAGCGUUGGAUACUGGCAGGCUAGACGGUUGGAGAGGCGAGUGGAAUUACCAGUGUAGCGGUGGAAUGCGUAGAUACUGGUAGGAACACCCAUUGCGAAGGCAGCUCGCUGGACAACACGUGACACUGAGGCGCGAAAGUGUGGGGAGCAAACCGGAUUAGAUACCCGGGUAGUCCACACCCUAAACGAUGCAUACUUGGUAUUGGCCCGUUGGGGUCAGUGCCGGAGCUAACGU